RNAcentral lists this ribosomal RNA (442 nucleotides) under uncultured bacterium. RNAcentral describes it as "partial 16S ribosomal RNA". It matches the Rfam family "Bacterial small subunit ribosomal RNA", at positions 338 to 795 of the family's 1533-position model. The record is from RNAcentral.
CCUACGGGAGGCAGCAGUAGGGAAUCUUUCACAAUGGGCGAAACCCUGAAGGAGCAACGCCGCGUGCAGGAUGAAGGCCUUCGGGUUGUAAACUCCUUUUGUAAGAGAAGAUAAUGAUGGUAUCUAAUGAAUAAGCAUCGGCUAACUACGUGCCAGCAGCCGCGGUAAUACGGAGGAUCCGAGCAUUAUCCGGAGUGACUGGGUGCAAAGAGUUGGCUGGGUGGCAUAAUAAGUAGCUAGGAAAAUCUGGGGGUUAAACCUAUCAGACUAUUAGUUAAACUGUUAAGCUCGAGACCGUUAGGGGUAACUGGAAUUCUUAGUGUAGGAGUGAAAUCCGUAGAUAUUAGAAGGAAUACCAAUAGCGAAGGCAGGUUACUGGGACGGUUCUGACACUAAGGCACGAAAGCGUAGGGAGCAAACGGGAUUAGAUACCCUGGUAGUC